This 505-nucleotide ribosomal RNA is filed under the name uncultured Pseudomonadota bacterium. RNAcentral's name for it is "bacterial SSU rRNA". It matches the Rfam family "Bacterial small subunit ribosomal RNA", at positions 355 to 851 of the family's 1533-position model. The record is from RNAcentral. Lineage: Bacteria; Pseudomonadati; Pseudomonadota.
UGGGGAAUUUUGGACAAUGGGCGCAAGCCUGAUCCAGCCAUGCCGCGUGUGUGAAGAAGGCCUUCGGGUUGUAAAGCACUUUCGGCCGGAACGAAAUCGCCUUUGUUAAUAGCGAAGGUGGAUGACGGUACCGGAAGAAGAAGCACCGGCUAACUACGUGCCAGCAGCCGCGGUAAUACGUAGGGUGCGAGCGUUAAUCGGAAUUACUGGGCGUAAAGGGUGCGCAGGCGGCCCCGCAAGUCAGGCGUGAAAUCCCCGGGCUUAACCUGGGAAUGGCGCUUGAAACUACGGGGCUGGAGUAUGGCAGAGGGAGGUGGAAUUCCACGUGUAGCGGUGAAAUGCGUAGAGAUGUGGAGGAACACCGAUGGCGAAGGCAGCCUCCUGGGCCAAUACUGACGCUCAUGCACGAAAGCGUGGGGAGCAAACAGGAUUAGAUACCCUGGUAGUCCACGCCCUAAACGAUGAUGACUAGUUGUUGGAGGAGUUAAAUCCUUUAGUAACGCAG